This 309-nucleotide ribosomal RNA is filed under the name Exosphaeroma inornata. Its description in RNAcentral is "partial 16S ribosomal RNA". It matches the Rfam family "Archaeal large subunit ribosomal RNA", at positions 1920 to 2390 of the family's 2987-position model. The record is from RNAcentral. Lineage: Eukaryota; Metazoa; Arthropoda; Malacostraca; Isopoda; Sphaeromatidae.
ACAUCGCUAGAAAAAUAUUUCCAGUCAAACCUGCCCAGUGAUUUAUUUAACGGCCGCAGUAUCCUAACUGUGCUAAGGUAGCAUAAUCAUUAGUUUUUUAAUUAAAAACUCGUAUGAACGGUUCGACGAGAAAUUUUCUGUCUCUAAAAUACAAAAAACUUACUUUUAAAGUCAAAAAGCUUUAAUAUUCCUAUAAGACGACAAGACCCUAUAAAACUUUACCUUUUCUCUCUCUUACUUAUCAGAAACAACAUUAAUUGAAUAAAGGUUUUACUGGGGCGGUAAAUCUUAUCAAACAAAUUUUUACCC